Molecule: unclassified non-coding RNA, 297 nt
Organism: Cavia aperea (Brazilian guinea pig)
Lineage: Eukaryota; Metazoa; Chordata; Mammalia; Rodentia; Caviidae
Gene: 7SK
Rfam family: 7SK RNA
About the family: 7SK was discovered as an abundant small nuclear RNA in the mid-70s but a possible function has only recently been suggested. Two independent studies have found that 7SK RNA binds the CDK9/cyclin T complex (known as elongation factor P-TEFb).
Source: Ensembl
GGAUAUAAGGGCAAUCUGGCCGGGACAUCUGUCACUCCAUUGAUCACUAGGGUUGAUUGGGCUAAUCUGGCUACCUAAGCUGGUGUCUCCUUCCUUUUUCACUGCUCCACUUGAAGCUGUGUGGUGGAUAGAAGAGAACGACCACUCCAGAUGGAGGAAGAAUCAUUUCCUUAGUCUAGGGUAUAGAGUUACUGCNNUCCCCUGCUGGAAACUCCAAACAAGCUCUCAAAAAGUGAGAAACUGAAAUGGAAAUUUUUUUAAAAAGCAAUAUGCCAAAAAUAUGAUGCUAGUCAAUUU